This 486-nucleotide small RNA is filed under the name Malus domestica (apple). RNAcentral's name for it is "sRNA MD03G0120200". The record is from RNAcentral. Lineage: Eukaryota; Viridiplantae; Streptophyta; Magnoliopsida; Rosales; Rosaceae.
AGAAAAAGAAAAAGAUGGAGAAAGUGGUAGCGGAAGGCUAUGCCGAAGGCUAUCGUGAUCCGUGUGCUGAAGGACAAAUUUCCCAGUGCCACAGGGGCGACGGCGACCUAAUCGUUCACAAAGAAGCGCUCCUCGCAUUCUCCACCUAAGGACAAAGAAUGCUGGAAAGGGUGCAGUAAAGAAUGAAGUAAGGAAUGCUACAAAGAAUGCAGGAAAGAGUGGGAAGAAUGCAGGAAAGAGUAGAAAGAAUGCAGUAAAGAAAGCGGGAACAUAAAAAACGAAAGAAGUGAAGAGGAAGAAGAAGACGAAGAGGAAGAAAUUGGAAGAGUCAUCGUCACGAAAGCAAGGCGAAAAGGAUGAAGAAAACCACGAUGAGGAUGGAAGUGGUGAUGGAUGAGUAAGCAAGCAAGGAAUAGACAUUUUCUGCUAGUUUCGGUGUUUCCUUUUUCUUUCUUAGCAUGUAGUUUGCUUCUGCAUCUAACAGCC